UAUGGAGGCCUAAGAAGGCCGAGUCUGAUGAAGCAAGACUUCUGAUGCAGACCUCCUAGAAAAAGGGGUUGGAGAGAGUAGCCCUUACUGGAGAGUGUUACAGGGCUGACUGUCACCAACAUUU
Molecule: small nucleolar RNA, 124 nt
Organism: Echinops telfairi (small Madagascar hedgehog)
Lineage: Eukaryota; Metazoa; Chordata; Mammalia; Afrosoricida; Tenrecidae
Source: Ensembl